Molecule: ribosomal RNA, 501 nt
Filed under: uncultured bacterium
Lineage: Bacteria
Description: partial 16S ribosomal RNA
Rfam family: Bacterial small subunit ribosomal RNA
Source: RNAcentral
AUUGAACGCUGGCGGCAUGCCUUACACAUGCAAGUCGAACGGCAGCACGGGUGCUUGCACCUGGUGGCGAGUGGCGAACGGGUGAGUAAUACAUCGGAACGUACCUUAUCGUGGGGGAUAACGCAGCGAAAGCUGUGCUAAUACCGCAUACGCCCUGAGGGGGAAAGCGGGGGCUCGCCAGACUCCGCGCGAUUAGAGCGGCCGAUGCCUGAUUAGCUUGUUGGUGGGGUAAAAGCCCACCAAGGCGACGAUCAGUAGCUGGUCUGAGAGGACGAUCAGCCACACUGGGACUGAGACACGGCCCAGACUCCUACGGGAGGCAGCAGUGGGGAAUUUUGGACAAUGGGGGCAACCCUGAUCCAGCAAUGCCGCGUGAGUGAAGAAGGCCUUCGGGUUGUAAAGCUCUUUUGUCAGGGAAGAAACACCGGCUCUAACACAGUCCGGGAAUGACGGUACCUGAAGAAUAAGCACCGGCUAACUACGUGCCAGCAGCCGCAGUAA